This 253-nucleotide ribosomal RNA is filed under the name uncultured bacterium. Its description in RNAcentral is "partial 16S ribosomal RNA". It matches the Rfam family "Bacterial small subunit ribosomal RNA", at positions 524 to 776 of the family's 1533-position model. The record is from RNAcentral.
UACGUAGGGUGCGAGCGUUGUCCGGAUUUAUUGGGCGUAAAGGGCUCGUAGGCGGUUCGUCGCGUCGGCUGUGAAAUCCCGAGGCUCAACCUCGGGUCUGCAGUCGAUACGGGCGGACUGGAGUUCGGCAGGGGAGACUGGAAUUCCUGGUGUAGCGGUGAAAUGCGCAGAUAUCAGGAGGAACACCGGUGGCGAAGGCGGGUCUCUGGGCCGAUACUGACGCUGAGGAGCGAAAGCGUGGGGAGCGAACAGG